GAUGAACGCUGGCGGCGUGCCUAACACAUGCAAGUCGAGCGAUUCUCUUCGGAGAAGAGCGGCGGACGGGUGAGUAACGCGUGGGUAACCUGCCCUGUACACACGGAUAACAUACCGAAAGGUAUGCUAAUACGAGAUAAUAUGCUUUUAUCGCAUGGUAGAAGUAUCAAAGCUCCGGCGGUACAGGAUGGACCCGCGUCUGAUUAGCUAGUUGGUAAGGUAACGGCUUACCAAGGCGACGAUCAGUAGCCGACCUGAGAGGGUGAUCGGCCACAUUGGAACUGAGACGCGGUCCAAACUCCUACGGGAGGCAGCAGUGGGGAAUAUUGCACAAUGGGCAAAAGCCUGAUGCAGCAACGCCGCGUGAGCGAUGAAGGUUUUCGGAUUGUAAACUCCUGUCGUUAGGGACGAUAAUGACGGUACCUAACAAGAAAGC
This 436-nucleotide ribosomal RNA is filed under the name uncultured bacterium. RNAcentral's name for it is "bacterial SSU rRNA". It matches the Rfam family "Bacterial small subunit ribosomal RNA", at positions 28 to 491 of the family's 1533-position model. The record is from RNAcentral.